Molecule: non-coding RNA, 131 nt
Filed under: Sneathia sanguinegens
Lineage: Bacteria; Fusobacteriati; Fusobacteriota; Fusobacteriia; Fusobacteriales; Leptotrichiaceae
Description: glmS glucosamine-6-phosphate activated ribozyme
Rfam family: glmS glucosamine-6-phosphate activated ribozyme aptamer
About the family: This entry contains a glucosamine-6-phosphate activated ribozyme that is found in the mRNA for GlmS. GlmS is an enzyme that uses fructose-6-phosphate and glutamine to generate glucosamine-6-phosphate.
Source: RNAcentral
UCUUUUAGCGCCAGGGCUUUUUUUAAAGUCGACGAGGACAAAAGUUAUCGAAUUUUCGGCGGAUGCUUUUGCGGAAGGUCUAUUUCGAGAGAGAGUAUAAAAUUUAAAAGUAAUUUUGAAUACAAAAUACA